Molecule: ribosomal RNA, 433 nt
Filed under: uncultured bacterium
Lineage: Bacteria
Description: partial 16S ribosomal RNA
Rfam family: Bacterial small subunit ribosomal RNA
Source: RNAcentral
AACGAACGCUGGCGGCAUGCCUAACACAUGCAAGUCGAACGAGACCUUCGGGUCUAGUGGCGCACGGGUGCGUAACGCGUGGGAACCUGCCCUUAGGUUCGGCAUAACUCUCCGAAAGGGGUGCUAAUACCGGAUAAUGUCUUCGGACCAAAGAUUUAUCGCCGUUGGAUGGGCCCGCGUUGGAUUAGCUAGUUGGUAGGGUAAAAGCCUACUAAGGCGACGAUCCAUAGCUGGUUUGAGAGGAUGAUCAGCCACACUGGGACUGGGACACGGCCCAGACUCUUACGGGAGGCAGGAGUGGGGAAUAGUGGACAAUGGGCGAAGGCCUGAUCCAGCAAUGCCGGGUGAGUUAUGAAGGCCUUAGGGUUGUAAAGCUCUUUUACCCGGGAUGAUAAUGACGGUACCGGGAGAAUAAGCCCCGGCUAACUCCGUG